This is a long non-coding RNA of Parus major (Great Tit), 1359 nucleotides long. RefSeq lists it as uncharacterized. Lineage: Eukaryota; Metazoa; Chordata; Aves; Passeriformes; Paridae. The transcript is spliced from 2 exons. The record is from RefSeq and is a predicted model, not a curated record.
CUCGGCUCCGGGUGCGGCCGGCGGCCCGGACGGGCUGCGCGGAGUUGUGGCCGGGCCGCGCUCACAACCCGCGUUCAUGGAAGUGUCGCUGGGGACGUCCCGCAAGCCCGCAGGUGGGACACGAGCACCUUCGGAUGUGAAGCCUCGCCUAGAUAAUGUCCCUGUCUGUACUUGGCAUGUUAUUGUCAGACCGUCCUGCUAAGGAAGGCAUUUCACAGAAUCACAGAUUCCAACCUGUGACUAAACAACACCUUGUCAACUAGACCAUGGCACUAAGUACCACAUCCAGUCUUUCCUUAAACACCUCAAGGGAAGGUGACAACACCACUUCCCUGGGCAGCCCGUCCCAAUGCCCAAUCACCCUUUCCGUGAUGAAAUUCUUCCUGAUGGCCAACCUGAACCUCCCCUGGCGCAGCGUAAGACUAUGUCCUCUCACCCUGUCACUUUCACCUUGCAGUGCAUAGCCACUCCUGCUUAAGGAUGCCAAAAAGCCUUGGUUUGUGUGACAGCCGCGUGUGCACAUCGUGCAUGGCAUUUUCUUCUGAGUAUAGAAACAGAAGUACAUCGGAUGAGGCAGGGUGAGCUGUGCACAGACCUGCCUGCUGCCGCAGUGGGUUGGCACAGCACCCCAGUCCCUUCUCUGCAACUUGCAACCUACAGGCACCAAGCAGGGGUUUGCAGUGUUUGAUUCUUGCUGACUACCUGCACAUGAGACUGAGACUUCAAUAACUGCACUUGCAAACUGAAAAUCUUCAUGUUAACUGCCAAUGAGAGAUUUUACUUCACGAGAGGAGUGGUACAUGCCGAAUCAUGACCUUGCAGGACACCUCAGUCUUACAGACAAAGGAAAUUGGGAUGGAGGAAAGCACAACAUGACUUUCAAUUGAGAAAUGUAGUCAUGAAGGUUAAUGUUCUUAAAUGAAAAACUAGUGUUUAUUCCAGCAUAACUAUUGAUUGUGUGUACAAUUCGGUUUUGUUCCUCUUUUUCCUCAUCUCCUCUUAACCUUUCUUCUCAUCCAGUGGUGAUGUCUUUUCCUUUCACAGGUGCUGCAGGGUUGGAAGUGUCCUGGGCUCUGUGACUCAUUUGGUGAUGGCUCUGUAAGGCUGCCCUCCCACUGUGAUCUGGCAUAUCUGCUCCCUGUAUUUACUUUCUGCCUCCAGACCUGCUCCACCUUUCUUCUGCCCAAAACCACCCCAUCAACAGGGUUUGCCACUUCAUGUGCAUUUUGCCCAGCGGCUUCUUCACCAGACAUCGGAAACCUUAGUUUAGGUUCUACUCAUUGUCACAGUUUCACCACCUUAAAUUAAGAAGCAACAAAUCUUCAGAAGGGUUAAUAAAAACAAACAUUUUCUUAUCCA